GGAUCUGUGGUGUAAUGGUAGCACGAUGGUCUCCAAAACCAACAAUGCAGGUUCGAUUCCUGCCAGAUCUG
This 71-nucleotide transfer RNA is filed under the name Hungatella hathewayi. RNAcentral describes it as "tRNA-Trp". It matches the Rfam family "tRNA". Rfam says of the family: Transfer RNA (tRNA) molecules are approximately 80 nucleotides in length. Their secondary structure includes four short double-helical elements and three loops (D, anti-codon, and T loops). Further hydrogen bonds mediate the characteristic L-shaped molecular structure. tRNAs have two regions of fundamental functional importance: the anti-codon, which is responsible for specific mRNA codon recognition, and the 3' end, to which the tRNAs corresponding amino acid is attached (by aminoacyl-tRNA synthetases). tRNAs cope with the degeneracy of the genetic code in two manners: having more than one tRNA (with a specific anti-codon) for a particular amino acid; and 'wobble' base-pairing, i.e. permitting non-standard base-pairing at the 3rd anti-codon position. Lineage: Bacteria; Bacillati; Bacillota; Clostridia; Lachnospirales; Lachnospiraceae. The record is from RNAcentral. RNAcentral also lists the same sequence under 1 other name.